This 1377-nucleotide unclassified non-coding RNA is filed under the name Hevea brasiliensis (rubber tree). The record is from RNAcentral. Lineage: Eukaryota; Viridiplantae; Streptophyta; Magnoliopsida; Malpighiales; Euphorbiaceae.
AAGAAGAAGAAGAAGAAGAAGUAAAGGCAAGGGAAAAUUUUUGCUGGUCUCUUCCCUUAGGCUGGUUGUGGAAAUGGCCACCUUUGGAGGAACUCAACAAAAAUGUAUGGCCUGUGAAAAAACUGUGUAUCUUGUUGAUAAGUUGACUGCUGAUAAUAGGAUUUACCAUAGAACCUGCUUUAGAUGCCACCAUUGCAAUGGUACCCUUAAGCUAAGCAACUAUUGUUCUUUCGAAGGAGUUUUGUACUGCAGGCCUCACUAUGAUCAACUCUUCAAGCGAACUGGCAGUCUGGACAAGAGCUUUGAAGGUUAAAUCACUAAUCAUAUUCAACAUUCAAAGCUUUAACACACUUGUUAGAUUCUCUUUAACUAUUUAUAAUCAACUUUCUCUUAUACAUCCUCUAUGAUUCUUUCAGGAAUACCAAAAAUUGCCAAACCAGAAAAACCUGUCGAUAAUGAGGUAAUCAUAAUCUCUGGACCCCAUUGGAUCGAUGUUUUAUUUGCAUAUUCUUGUAUUGAUAUACACUUGACAAACAUUCUGGAAUUUUGUUUCUCACAGAACGCAAGCAAAGUCUCAAAUAUGUUUGCAGGCACCAGAGAAAAAUGUGCGGGUUGCACUAAGACUGUCUACCCUAUUGAGAGGGUAUGUCAAGCUCUAUAUCAAUUUGUUGAUUAGUGAUUAUAAAUUUACGUAACUCUGAAACGAAGAAUGGUGUUUCUUGAAGGUGACAGUGAAUGGAACUCAUUACCACAAGAGCUGCUUCAAGUGCACUCAUGGUGGUUGUACUAUAAGCCCAUCAAAUUACAUUGCACAUGAAGGAAAACUAUACUGCAAGCAUCACCAUAUCCAACUCUUCAAGGAAAAAGGAAAUUACAGCCAGCUCGAGAACGAUCGAGAGCCAGCCACCACAGAGAAAAUCACGGCCGUGGAAAUUGCUGCUGAAUCAUAAUUAUGAAGUGAUUAAAUAAAGCUGCAGCUUCUUGUCUAAAACUGAUGCUCUUUACGCAUGUUCUAGCUACUCUACAGACUACACGUUAUUCAUUUUCUUGACGGUUUUUCUUCUCCUAGACCAUUGGGUCAAGGUUGUUGAUGUGUUUUCAGAUGUAAGAUUUUGUGAUAGAUCAAUGGCUAUGAAUGUGGGCACCAUAAAUGUGUUACCGGGCGAGAUUGAGUGAGAUGAAGAUAGAAUGGGAUACAGGUUUUGUUUCAGAAUUUGCUCAUGUCCUGAGCUUUGUAAUCAGUGCACGGUUGUUCUAAGUGAUGUCUGUUUUUUGUUUUCUUGUCUCUUCCCUUAAAAUUUUCUGUCAGCUUGAGCUUACUUGAACAAUUUACUAAGCUCCGGCCGAUCAAUCACACCUGUUGACAACUUCACAUCC